RNAcentral lists this ribosomal RNA (430 nucleotides) under Pseudomonadota bacterium. RNAcentral describes it as "Proteobacteria bacterium partial 16S ribosomal RNA". It matches the Rfam family "Bacterial small subunit ribosomal RNA", at positions 355 to 776 of the family's 1533-position model. Lineage: Bacteria; Pseudomonadati; Pseudomonadota. The record is from RNAcentral.
UGGGGAAUAUUGGACAAUGGGGGGAACCCUGAUCCAGCCAUGCCGCGUGUGUGAAGAAGGCCUUAUGGUUGUAAAGCACUUUAAGCGAGGAGGAGGGUACUGGUAUUAAUACUACCAGGUACUGGACGUUACUCGCAGAAUAAGCACCGGCUAACUCUGUGCCAGCAGCCGCGGUAAUACAGAGGGUGCGAGCGUUAAUCGGAUUUACUGGGCGUAAAGCGUGCGUAGGCGGCUAAUUGAGUCGGAUGUGAAAUCCCCGAGCUUAACUUGGGAAUUGCAUUCGAUACUGGUUAGCUAGAGUGUGGGAGAGGAUGGUAGAAUUCCAGGUGUAGCGGUGAAAUGCAUAGAGAUCUGGAGGAAUACCGAUAGCGAAGGCAGCCAUCUGGCCUAACACUGACGCUGAGGUACGAAAGCAUGGGGAGCAAACAGG